UUCACCUACGGGACGCAGCAGUAGGGAAUAUUGCUCAAUGGGGGAAACCCUGAUGCAGCAACGCCGCGUGAGUGAGGAAGUAUUUCGGUAUGUAAAGCUCUAUCAGCAGGGAAUAGAAAAGAAGGUACCUGAAAAAGAAGCCCCGGCUAACUACGUGCCAGCAGCCGCGGUAAUACGUAGGGGGCAAGCGCUAUCCGGAUUUACUGGGUGUAAAGGGAGCGUAGACGGAAAGGCAAGUCAGAAGUGAAAACCCAAGGCUCAACCAUGGGACUGCUUUUGAAACUGUCAAACU
Molecule: ribosomal RNA, 292 nt
Filed under: uncultured bacterium
Lineage: Bacteria
Description: partial 16S ribosomal RNA
Rfam family: Bacterial small subunit ribosomal RNA
Source: RNAcentral